UGCGUAGGCGGAUAAAUAGGUCAGUGGUGAAAUCUUUCGGCUCAGCCGGGAAACUGCCAUUGAUACUGUUUAUCUUGAGUUCGGUAGAGGUAGGCGGAAUGUGUAAUGUAGCGGUGAAAUGCUUAGAUAUUACACAGAACACCAAUUGCGUAGGCAGCUUACUAUGCCGACACUGACGCUGAGGCACGAAAGCGUGGGGAGCGAACAGGAUUAGAUACCCUGGUAGUCC
This 229-nucleotide ribosomal RNA is filed under the name uncultured bacterium. RNAcentral describes it as "partial 16S ribosomal RNA". It matches the Rfam family "Bacterial small subunit ribosomal RNA", at positions 568 to 796 of the family's 1533-position model. The record is from RNAcentral.